GCCUGCAUAGCUCAGCUGGUAGAGCAUUUGCUUCGUAAGCAAAAGGUCGGGAGUUCAAACCUCUCUGCAGGCU
RNAcentral lists this transfer RNA (73 nucleotides) under archaeon. Its description in RNAcentral is "tRNA-Thr". It matches the Rfam family "tRNA". From Rfam's summary of the family: Transfer RNA (tRNA) molecules are approximately 80 nucleotides in length. Their secondary structure includes four short double-helical elements and three loops (D, anti-codon, and T loops). The record is from RNAcentral.